This 573-nucleotide small RNA is filed under the name Pan troglodytes (chimpanzee). RNAcentral's name for it is "processed transcript". Lineage: Eukaryota; Metazoa; Chordata; Mammalia; Primates; Hominidae. The record is from RNAcentral.
GUGCGAAUCGUGGGUGGGAUGGCCGUGGGCCGCCUCUUUCUAAGUCGGCUUCGAGCACCCUUCAGUUCCAUGGCCAAGAGCCCACUCGAGGGCGUUUCCUCCUCCAGAGGCCUGCACGCGGGGCGCGGGCCCCGAAGGCUCUCCAUCGAAGGCAACAUUGGCCUGCACUGCCCAAAGUCUUGGAAACUUGCUGGAUAUGAUGUACCGGGAGCCAGCACGAUGGUCCUACACAUUCCAGACAUUUUCCUUUUUGAGCCGCCUGAAAGUACAGCUGGAGCCCUUCCCUGAGAAACUCUUACAGGCCAGGAAGCCAGUACAGAUCUUUGAGAGGUCUGUGUACAGUGACAGGUAAAAUGCCAAGCCCUCCACCAGUCACAAGCCCCAUGCUCAGUGCUGCCUGUUUGAUCUUGCACAGAUCCUGCACUGCUAUGGUCACUGAUGAUUAUACUUUGAAAAAUUGUCUUCUUUUUUAAAGACAACACUAUACAGAUUUGUCCAGAGUUGUACUUCUACCAGAUUGUCAUCUAUGUCAAGAAAGGAAAUUGGGUUUUUCAUCAACUGAAUGCUUUGAAU